GUCGAACGAGAACCACUUCGGUGGAUUCUAGUGGCGAACGGGUGAGUAACACGUAAGAAACCUGCCCCAAAAACGAGGAUAACCAUGGGAAACUAUGGCUAAUACUGGAUAGGAUAUAAGAACGCAUGUUCUAAUAUUUAAAGACGUGAUUGCGUCGUUAUGGGAUGGUCUUGCGCUGUAUUAGCUAGUUGGUGAGGUAACGGCUCACCAAGGCGACGAUACAUAGCUGGUCUGAGAGGAUGAACAGCCACACUGGGACUGAGACACAGCCCAGACUCCUACGGGAGGCAGCAGUAGGGAAUUUUCGGCAAUGGGCGAAAGCCUGACCGAGCAAUGCCGCGUGAAUGAUGAAGGUCUUCGGAUCGUAAAGUUCUGUUGUUAGGGAAGAACGACUAGAGUAGGAAAUGGCUCUAGAGUGACGGUACCUAACCAGAAAGCUCCGGCUAACUACGUGCCAGCAGCCGCGGUAAUACGUAGGGAGCGAGCGUUAUCCGGAAUUAUUGGGCGUAAAGCGUGCGUAGGCGGUAUGUUAAGUCAAAUGUGAAAGCCCAGGGCUUAACCCUGGAGAGUCAUUUGAAACUGGCAUGCUUGAGUACGGCAGAGGUAAGUGGAAUUCAAUGUGUAGCGGUGGAAUGCGUAGAUAUAUUGAGGAACACCAGUGGCGAAGGCGGCUUACUGGACCGGAACUGACGCUGAGGCACGAAAGCGUGGGGAGCAAACAGGAUUAGAUACCCUGGUAGUCCACGCUGUAAACGAUGAGAACUAAGUGUUGGGGUUACCCAGUGCUGAAGUUAACGCAUUAAGUUCUCCGCCUGGGGAGUACGACCGCAAGGUUGAAACUCAAAGGAAUUGACGGGUCUCCGCACAAGCGG
Molecule: ribosomal RNA, 872 nt
Filed under: uncultured bacterium
Lineage: Bacteria
Description: bacterial SSU rRNA
Rfam family: Bacterial small subunit ribosomal RNA
Source: RNAcentral